GGGGAAUAUUGGACAAUGGGGGCAACCCUGAUCCAGCCAUGCCGCGUGUGUGAAGAAGGCCUUUUGGUUGUAAAGCACUUUAAGCAGUGAAGAAGACCUAACGGUUAAUACCCGUUAGCGAUGACAUUAGCUGCAGAAUAAGCACCGGCUAACUCUGUGCCAGCAGCCGCGGUAAUACAGAGGGUGCAAGCGUUAAUCGGAAUUACUGGGCGUAAAGCGAGCGUAGGUGGCUUGAUAAGUCAGAUGUGAAAUCCCCGGGCUUAACCUGGGAACUGCAUCUGAUACUGUUGGGCUAGAGUAGGUGAGAGGGAGGUAGAAUUUCAGGUGUAGCGGUGAAAUGCGUAGAGAUCUGAAGGAAUACCGAUGGCGAAGGCAGCCUCCUGGACGAAGACUGACGCUCAGGUGCGAAAGCGUGGGGAGCAAACAGG
Molecule: ribosomal RNA, 428 nt
Filed under: uncultured bacterium
Lineage: Bacteria
Description: bacterial SSU rRNA
Rfam family: Bacterial small subunit ribosomal RNA
Source: RNAcentral